AACUUUUGACAACGGAUCUCUUGGCUCUCGCAUCGAUGAAGAACGCAGCGAAAUGCGAUAAGUAAUGUGAAUUGGAGAAUUCAGUGAAUCAUCGAAUCUUUGAACGCACCUUGCACCCUUUGGCAUUCCGAAGGGUAUGCUCGUUUGAGUGUCAUUGUACUCUCACACUCCCGAUGCUUUUGGAUUGGGAGUGGUGGACUUGGGUGUUGCUGCUUUACUGUGGCUCACCUCAAAUGGAGUAGUGCAACUCUUGGUUGGACAUAGUACGGCGUGAUAAGUGUCUUCGCCGGCGCCUCAUUAGAGGGUGGCCGAUCGGGAGCUCUGUGCUUCAAACCGUCUUCGGACAACAUCUGACAACUUGACCUCAAAUCGAGUAGGACUACCCGCUGAACUUAAGCAUAUCAAUAAGCGGAGGCU
Molecule: unclassified non-coding RNA, 417 nt
Filed under: uncultured Sebacina
Lineage: Eukaryota; Fungi; Basidiomycota; Agaricomycetes; Sebacinales; Sebacinaceae
Description: sequence contains ITS2
Rfam family: 5.8S ribosomal RNA (bases 1-154)
Source: RNAcentral